This is a non-coding RNA of Oryctolagus cuniculus (rabbit), 5216 nucleotides long. NCBI's taxonomy places the organism in Eukaryota, Metazoa, Chordata, Mammalia, Lagomorpha, Leporidae. The record is from RefSeq and is a predicted model, not a curated record.
GCAGUUAGGAAAGGGCUGAGAUGGAGCUCAGGGGUAACCCUAGGAGCCGUACCUCUGUGCCCACCCGCGCUUCCGCACCCUGAGGAGCCGCGAUGGCCGCAGAUUCCUCUCGGUCCUUUAACAGUUCCUCGGACGGGACGCCCGGCGCGUCCCACGCAUGCCCAGUCUUUCCGGCUAGCCCGUCUCGGGUUCCGGUGUCCAGCCAAGUGCGAGAGGUCUCUGGACGCGGACGGAAGGAGAGCUGGCCGACGCUCCCUCCAUAUGGGACAGCGGGCCCAUCCAGCUGUCCCCUUGUGUCCGGACCCACGUCGGGCCCACGCGAGUGCACGCACCAAGCCCUAACGGCCCGGGAGGCCGCCCGCGCGGGGCGAGUCCAGCGCAGAGACCCUGCCGGCCUGUUGUCAGGUGCGUUAGCGGGGAGCUGGAUCAGAAGUGGAGCAGCCGGGACUCAGAACACAGCCCUCUGAAGUGGAAUGCCAGCAUCCCAAGUGGCAGUGUCCAUCUGACGCGCAGAGGUGUGAAUUUGCCUGCAUCUGAGAAUGGCAGAGCACUAACAUCUCCUUUGGAGGCCUCUUGGAGUUUUGGACUCAGAACCCUUUAAUCCCAGCUGUAUGCAUUAUUAAGUGUGUGACUGUCACUGGAAGACACUGAACUCUUAAGGUGACUGCAGGCCAGGCCAUCUGCCAUUCAGUGUCACACGUAAAAGGAAUGUGGUUCUGAUGAAGUGACAAACCACUCACAUGAAUGCAGGUACAGAGGCCUUUGAAGGUGAAGUCUCAAGAAAUCCAGGGCUGUAGAGCUGCGUGGUUCUUAAUUGUUUCUUUUCAGCAAAAAAUACACUCCCGCCCUGGUUUUGAUGCCACCAUAAACAUUUUUGCUGGAAGCAAAAUACUGCAAAACGUUGUUACUCAUCUCAGCUGUCAGCACACAGCUCCCAGCGCCCCAGCCCGCUCACGCAGGGGGUUACUGAGCAAAAGUGCUCUUGGCUUCCAGGCCCUUCAGGAGACAGAGAAAUGACAAUACCCAGACCUCCGUCCACCUUGCAUUACUGUUAAACAAAUCUGUGUAACCCAGUGUAUAAAAAUGCACAGUGGAGCAGCCAGGGAAAUUCAUUUAUUUACUGAGUGUCACAAAGCUACUUCAGCUUGUUGCAUGAGAAUUUGGGCACUUGUGUUUAAUUGGCUGGUUUGCACUCUGACAUAUCCUACAAGUGAGGUACAUAUUCUCUCUCUCUCUCUCUCUCUCUCUCUCUCUCUCUCCAAAAGCUUGAGGGUGAUAUGAAAUGAGAUUUUGAAUUCUCUGGGAACUCAAUGGGCUGAUAAUGUUGCUGCCAGUUUUGACACUGUGGGGCAGGCUCUACUCUUAGUAGAGUUGAUAAUGGCAAAGCGCACCUUCCACAAAACGUGGGAGAGAUCCCAGGCACUUUGCAGGAGGCAGUCAAGCUCAAGGGCCUGUUGACAGCACUGGAGAAGACAAAGGUGACAAACUGGUAACCAGGGGACCCUGGGUGAUCCCAGCCUCUUAUCAGCAACACAGCUAGCUAACGGUCCUCAGGGAAAUCUGCUAAGGUGAUUAGAAUGACUGACACUGAUUAACAGGGAAAUUAAAACUUAUUCAAGGAAGGCAUGGUGGCACAACAGGUUAAGCCUCCAUUUGGGAAGCCCUCAUCCCAUAUCGGAGUGCCAGUUCAAGUCCCAGCUCCUCUACUUCUGAUCCAGCUUUACCCUGAUGUGCCUGGGAAGCAGCACAUGACGGCCCAAAUACUUGGGUCCCUGCCACCCAAGUGGGAGACUGGAUUGUGUUCUGGGCUCCUGUGUCCAGCCUGGUUCAGCACCAGCUAUUGGGGGCUUUUGGGAAGUGAGCCAGUGAAUGGAAGGUCUCUGUCUCUCCCUCUCUUUUUGUCACUCUGCCUUUCAAAUAAAUUAAUAAAUAAAUUCUAAAAAACUGAAUCAGGAGGAAUUUACCACAGAACUUUUCUAGAUAAACCCAAGUGCCCACUGUUCUAUUGAUUCAGGGUUCAGACACAGGGUAGAUGUCACCUACAGGGUUAUUAGCAAUAUUACCAGAAUGCAAGAGGAAUGGUCAGAGAGGUUUACUACUUUAAUACACAAUACUCAACUCUCAGGGGCUUAACCAAAAGAGUCGCAAUCCAAUAUGGGUUGGUAGGGGGCCAAGGGCUCGGCUCCACACCAUCAUUCAAGGACUCGGGUUUCUAUCUGGUAGUCCCUCUACCCUCUAGAUGGAAACUAUGGAGUUCUUGCAAAUUUUCCUGAAUCCAACCAACAGACUGAGGAAGAGAGACAUGGGGAGACCUCUGCAGGGAUUAGGUCUGGGAAUACCACGCUUCACUGGCCAAGAGUUACAUCAAACACACACAUACACACACACACACACACACACACCGCCCCCAACUGCAGGGGACUGGCAAGUACAGAAUGGCUGUGUGGAGAGGAAGGAGAGGACAGCUUGGUGUGGCGCACCAGCAACCUCUGCUAUAAAAGUUUCAUAAAAGAACUAAGCUUAUUCUUAAGAGCAAGUGUAUUAAAGCAGAUUCUGGACGAGAUCCUACAUUUUGUCCAGGCCCUCCACCCCUGGAAUUCCCCUCAGAGAGAGGGGAGGGCUCAUUGCUUCAGAGCAAGUUUGGUUUUAGUCAACCCUCAAAUGAUGAAUUUGAUCAAUUCUGAAGAAAAUGCCCUGGGUUCCUCAGAUCUUACAUUGCUAGAAAAUAUAAGUCAAGUCAGUCUCUACAAUAUAAGUCAAGUCAGUCUUUGUGUAUGUGAACAAAGAGAAAUUAACCUACCUAGGGGCAUUCUCUUUCUUUAAAGGGUAGAGUGGGGUUGGGGGUUGAUCUACCAGUUAAAAGGCCCACAUCCCAAACUCGAUUACCUGAUUUCAUCUCCUGGCUUUUCUCCCAAUGCCAGCUUCCUGCUAAUGUGCACAUCCUGGAAGGCAGGGAGUGAUGACGGCUCAAGUAGUCAAGUUCCUGCACCCAUGUGGGAGACCUGCAUUGAGUCCCUGUCCACCUGACCCAACCCUGGCCACGGCAGGCAUCUGGGGAGAAAAGCUGCAGAUUGGGACUCUGUCUCUUUCUCUGCUGAUUCUAUUAAAAAAAAAAUAAAAAGGAAUCCACUUAAGAGAUUUGGGGUGGUAGGCUGGAGAAGGGUAUAGGGCAGACGGUUCAGUGGUUCACACAAAGUUUUUUUUGGGGGGAGGAUUCUAAGUCACAAGGUCCUGACCCUUUAGGCUCUGAAAUGCACAACUGGUCCAAGUGGGCCCCCUCCCUGUCAAUCUCCUGAGAGAAAGAAAGCAGCUCUUUGUAGGCAAUGUCGGUCUUGGUUGAACAAAGACCAAAUCAGCGAGUCCCACCUUGACUUAUGAUGGGUCAAUCUGUGAUGUUUCCACUUGACAACGGUGUCAAAGCAUACCGGUAACAACCCUGUGUUUCACAGCCAGUAUAUGUAGUAGUCAGCUUUUCAUUGCCACCUAAUGCAAUCUAAUCACUUCCUGAAAUCCAUGCCUUCAGAGAGUAUCACUGGAUUAAGCUUCCACUCUCUCAGCCCCACCAACAUCAAGAUUUUGGGAGUUAGAUAUUUACAUGAGUUGGAUAGCCAAAUCAUGUUCAAACUAUAGAAGUAUGAUAUUCAAUAAUUUACUGGACAUAUUCAAUGCUUUAUCAUAAAACAGGCUUUGUAUUAGAUGAUUUUGCCCAGCUGUAGACUAACUUAGGUUCUGAGCAUAUUUAAGGUGGGCUAGGCUAAGCCACGCUAUGACGUUCAGUAGGUUAGGUGUAUUACCUGUACGUUCCACUCUAGUGUUUUCAAUUUAUGAUAGGCUUAUCAGCACAUAUCCAUACAGUAAAUUGAUGAGCAACUGUGUAUGCUUUAUUAUACCACACCCUUCUUUAAAGACUUCCAGGGCAGGCAUUUGGCACAGCAGUUAAAAUGUCACUUGGGAUGCACUUACCGCAUAUCAGAGUGCUUGGGUUCAAGCCCCAGGUCUGCUUUCCAAUCCAGCUUCCUUCUAGCGUGCAUCCAGGUAGGCAGAAGGUAACGGCUCAAGAACCCGGGUCCCUGUCACCCACGUGGGAUACUUGAAUUGAGUUUCUGGCUUCUGGCUUCAGCUUGACCUAGCCCUGAUUGUUGGGGGCAUUUGCAGGAGUGAAUCAGUGGAUGGAAGUUAUCUGUCUAUCUCUGUCUCUUUGCCUUUCAAAUAAAUAAAAAAUAAAGAAAGUUUUAAAAAAAAUCCUGGUCUAGCGACCCACCAUUUUAAUAGGAAGAAAAUAUACUGGCUACACAGGGAUAGGGAUGGUGGGGUCCAAAGUCUUGAAUUGGAAACUCUGUCUUCCUGAAAAUGAUCUAUACAAUAGAUUUCCUUUCUGUAAGUGAAUAAGCAAACACACACACCAAAGUAAGCAUUACGUUCAUAAAGGAAAAUUAAUUCUUCUCACUAGUGUGACUCCAAUAGGUUAGACAUAGAUUCAGAUUCCCCCUCUGCUAUUUCAGGAAAGAGCUUGAUGUCCAGCUGUGGGGGCCAUGGUCAGCAGGCAACUGCCAGCUGGCAGUUCUGUCCAAAUCUGCCUCAACUGCAGAGGACCACCUUCCCUGAGGUCAGCCCCUUCCUGGGGUAGCCCCGCUCCCAGCGAUGAGUGGGGUGUGGGUGUAAAGGCCAGUCACCGUGGCCCAGGCCAGAAGACUAAUGGGAGGUUUUCCCUGCAGAGCUGCUCAAUGGGCUGGCCAAGCCCUUGCUGGAGUGGUAUUGCAUCUCAGUUUCUUCCUCUCUCCCUAUUCCUAAUUUCUUCCAUUUCCCUAUAAAGAUGUUGAUCUCCAAUAAAUAUCUUACCUCCCAAAUUCCAUCACAGCGUCUGCUUCCAGGGUGCUCACCCUAUCACAACUUCGUGAAACAAUAAGCUGGAAGUGUUUGGCUAAAGAGGAUGUGGUCCCUUCCUGAAAAUGACCGAGAGAGCUGAAGUGGCCCUGUCCUUCCAUCUCGCGUCGGUGCUCAGCCCCAGUUCAAGAGCUUUUGACUCCCACAUCUCUCUUAGGAUGGACCACUCACGAUUGCUAGCAUUCUCUAUAAGUAUCCUGAGUGGUUCUCCUUCCUCCUUUCAGUCAAGGUGCAGCUGCUUUUGAGGAAACUAAAUUUUUUUCAAAAAUUAAUAUCAGUUUAAAGGAUUAUAUACUCCCCAGAAAAUGACAGCUUACCUAAACACAGUUGGC